UGAAAACACCGGUUCUCGUACGAUCGCCAAAGUUAAGCAACGUCAAGCCUGGUCAGUACUUAGAUUGGUGACCACUUGGGAAUAUCAGGUAAUG
Acanthosepion pharaonis is the source of this 94-nucleotide non-coding RNA. The record is from the annotation of a GenBank genome assembly. Lineage: Eukaryota; Metazoa; Mollusca; Cephalopoda; Sepiida; Sepiidae.